GCCUUGGUGGUGGAACUGGUAGACACGCAGGACUUAAAAUUCUGAUCGCAAGAAUGCGAGUAACGGUUCAACACCGUUCCGGGGGC
Molecule: transfer RNA, 86 nt
Filed under: Filimonas zeae
Lineage: Bacteria; Pseudomonadati; Bacteroidota; Chitinophagia; Chitinophagales; Chitinophagaceae
Description: tRNA-Leu
Rfam family: tRNA
About the family: Transfer RNA (tRNA) molecules are approximately 80 nucleotides in length. Their secondary structure includes four short double-helical elements and three loops (D, anti-codon, and T loops). Further hydrogen bonds mediate the characteristic L-shaped molecular structure. tRNAs have two regions of fundamental functional importance: the anti-codon, which is responsible for specific mRNA codon recognition, and the 3' end, to which the tRNAs corresponding amino acid is attached (by aminoacyl-tRNA synthetases). tRNAs cope with the degeneracy of the genetic code in two manners: having more than one tRNA (with a specific anti-codon) for a particular amino acid; and 'wobble' base-pairing, i.e. permitting non-standard base-pairing at the 3rd anti-codon position.
Source: RNAcentral